This 508-nucleotide ribosomal RNA is filed under the name uncultured Pseudomonadota bacterium. RNAcentral describes it as "bacterial SSU rRNA". It matches the Rfam family "Bacterial small subunit ribosomal RNA", at positions 355 to 857 of the family's 1533-position model. Lineage: Bacteria; Pseudomonadati; Pseudomonadota. The record is from RNAcentral.
UGGGGAAUAUUGGACAAUGGGGGCAACCCUGAUCCAGCAAUGCCGCGUGUGUGAAGAAGGCCUGCGGGUUGUAAAGCACUUUCAGUAGAGAAGAAAAGCCUAAGGUUAAUAACCUUGAGUCUUGACGUAACCUACAGAAGAAGCACCGGCUAACUCCGUGCCAGCAGCCGCGGUAAUACGGAGGGUGCAAGCGUUAAUCGGAAUUACUGGGCGUAAAGCGCACGUAGGUGGUUUGGUAAGUCGGAUGUGAAAGCCCUGGGCUUAACCUGGGAAUUGCAUUCGAUACUGCUUGACUAGAGUAUGGUAGAGGGAAGUGGAAUUUCCGGUGUAGCGGUGAAAUGCGUAGAUAUCGGAAGGAACACCAGUGGCGAAGGCGACUUCCUGGGCCAAUACUGACACUGAGGUGCGAAAGCGUGGGUAGCAAACAGGAUUAGAUACCCUGGUAGUCCACGCCGUAAACGAUGAGAACUAGAUGUUGGGAGGUUGCCUCCCGGUGUCGCAGCUAACG